Molecule: ribosomal RNA, 433 nt
Filed under: uncultured bacterium
Lineage: Bacteria
Description: partial 16S ribosomal RNA
Rfam family: Bacterial small subunit ribosomal RNA
Source: RNAcentral
AACGAACGCUGGCGGCAUGCCUAACACAUGCAAGUCGAACGAAGGCUUCGGCCUUAGUGGCGCACGGGUGCGUAACGCGUGGGAAUCUGCCCUUUGGUUCGGAAUAACAGCUGGAAACGGCUGCUAAUACCGGAUGAUGACGAAAGUCCAAAGAUUUAUCGCCAGAGGAUGAGCCCGCGUUGGAUUUGGUAGUUGGUGGGGUAAAGGCCUACCAAGCCGACGAUCCAUAGCUGGUCUGAGAGGAUGAUCAGCCACACUGGGACUGAGACACGGCCCAGACUCCUACGGGAGGCAGCAGUGGGGAAUAUUGGACAAUGGGCGCAAGCCUGAUCCAGCAAUGCCGCGUGAGUGAUGAAGGCCCUAGGGUUGUAAAGCUCUUUUACCCGGGAAGAUAAUGACUGUACCGGGAGAAUAAGCCCCGGCUAACUCCGUG